AUUUUUUCCAUUUUAUUUACAAAAUUUAAAACGUGCAUAAAAAUAAGAGUCAUCUUACUAAAUUCACGACGUUCAUAACAUAGAUGGACUGUGUGAUUCAAGUAUCUGAUGAGAUUCACGAUGAGUCACUAUCUACUUUUACUACUGAAAAAGCGGAUCCUUCUUUGGAAAUUCGUGAAGCAUAUGUUAGCGUAGCAUUAUUCAAAGAGUCUACGAUUAAGUGCGUGCUAGUUUUGCCGAAAGUGAAGUAACGAUUGAAAUAGAUUUUUAGUUGAACUAGAGUAUAUAUGUGUUAAUGAAAAAUUUAAAAUCUUUAAUGUUUAUUUAUUAUUUAUUUUAUUUUAUUUAAUUUAUUUAAUGUAUUAUUAUUUAUUUAAUAUUUCUUUUUNUU
RNAcentral lists this long non-coding RNA (391 nucleotides) under Ananas comosus (pineapple). RNAcentral describes it as "long non-coding RNA (ACOM_LNC016014)". The record is from RNAcentral. Lineage: Eukaryota; Viridiplantae; Streptophyta; Magnoliopsida; Poales; Bromeliaceae.